GUUUGAUCUGGCUUAGGAUUAACGCUGGCGGCGUGCAUAACACAUUCAAGUCGAACGGAGGGUAGCGAUACCCUUAGUGGCGGACGGGUGAGUAACGCGUGAGCAACCUGCCUUUCAUUUUGGGAUAGCCUCGGGAAACUGAGGAUAAUACCGAAUAACACGGUCGAGCCGCAUGGUUUGGCCGUCGAAGGAGAAAUCCGAUGAAAGAUGGGCUCGCGUCCGAUUAGGUAGUUGGUGGGGUAACGGCUCACCAAGCCGACGAUCGGUAGCCGGACUGAGAGGUCGAACGGCCACAUUGGAACUGAGAAACGGUCCAGACUCCUACGGGAGGCAGCAGUGGGGAAUAUUGGGCAAUGGAGGAAACUCUGACCCAGCGACGCCGCGUGAAGGAAGAAGGUCUUCGGAUUGUAAACUUUAAAUGACGGGGACGAAACAAAUGACGGUACCCGUUGGGAAGCCACGGCUAACUACGUGCCAGCAGCCGCGGUAAUACGUAGGUGGCGAGCGUUAUCCGGAUUUAUUGGGCGUAAAGGGUGCGUAGGCGGGGAGGCAAGUCAGGAGUGAAAAUUACGGGCUCAACCCGUAACCUGCUUUUGAAACUGUCUUUCUUGAGUGUCGGAGGGGUGAAUGGAAUUCCCGGUGUAGCGGUAAAAUGCGUAGAUAUCGGGAGGAACACCGGUGGCGAAGGCGAUUCACUGGACGACAACUGACGCUGAGGCACGAAAGUGUGGGUAGCAAACAGGAUUAGAUACCCUGGUAGUCCACACUGUAAACGAUGAAUGCUAGGUGUGGGAGGAGCAAUCCUUCCGUGCCGCAGUUAACACAAUAAGCAUUCCGCCUGGGGAGUACGGCCGCAAGGUUGAAACUCAAAGGAAUUGACGGGAGCCCGCACAAGCAGUGGAGUAUGUGGUUUAAUUCGACGCAACGCGAAGAACCUUACCGGAGCUUGACAUCCUAAGAAGACCGCCGUAACGGCGGUUGUGCCCGCAAGGGAACUUAGAGACAGGUGGUGCAUGGUUGUCGUCAGCUCGUGUCGUGAGAUGUUGGGUUAAGUCCCGCAACGAGCGCAACCCUUACGUUUAGUUGCUACGAAAGAGCACUCUAAACGGACUGCCGUUGAUAAAACGGAGGAAGGUGGGGACGACGUCAAAUCAUCAUGCCCCUUACGCCCCGGGCCACACACGUACUACAAUGGCGAGAACAACGGGAAGCGAAGCCGCGAGGCGGAGCAAACCCCCAAAAAUCGUCCAAGUUCAGAUUGCAGGCUGCAACUCGCCUGCAUGAAGCCGGAAUUGCUAGUAAUCGCGAAUCAGCAUGUCGCGGUGAAUACGUUCCCGGGCUUUGUACACACCGCCCGUC
Molecule: ribosomal RNA, 1359 nt
Filed under: uncultured bacterium
Lineage: Bacteria
Description: 16S ribosomal RNA
Rfam family: Bacterial small subunit ribosomal RNA
Source: RNAcentral